This 776-nucleotide ribosomal RNA is filed under the name uncultured bacterium. RNAcentral's name for it is "bacterial SSU rRNA". It matches the Rfam family "Bacterial small subunit ribosomal RNA", at positions 8 to 796 of the family's 1533-position model. The record is from RNAcentral.
AGAGUUUGAUCCUGGCUCAGAAUCAACGCUGGCGGCGUGCCUCAGACAUGCAAGUCGAACGAUUAAACUUCUCUUCGGAGAAGAUAUAAAGUGGCGCACGGGUGAGUAACACGUAGGUAAUGUACCUUUGGGUGGGGAAUAACUUAGGGAAACUUAAGCUAAUACCGCAUAAUGCAGCGGCUCCUUCGGGAGACAGUUGUUAAAGCGUUUACGCGCCUAAAGAGCAGCCUGCGGCAGAUUAGCUAGUUGGUAAGGUAAUGGCUUACCAAGGCUACGAUCUGUAUCCGACCUGAGAGGGUGGUCGGACACACUGACACUGAAUAACGGGUCAGACUCCUACGGGAGGCAGCAGUCGGGAAUUUUGGGCAAUGGGCGAAAGCCUGACCCAGCAACGCCGCGUGGAGGAUGAAGUCUUUCGGGAUGUAAACUUCGUAAGAAUAGGAAGAAUAAAUGACGGUACUAUUUGUAAGGUCCGGCUAACUACGUGCCAGCAGCCGCGGUAAUACGUAGGGACCAAGCGUUGUUCGGAUUUACUGGGCGUAAAGGGCGCGUAGGCGGCGUGUCAAGUCAAUUGUGAAAUCUCCGAGCUUAACUCGGAACGGUCAAUUGAUACUGAUGUGCUAGAGUGCAGAAGGGGCAAUCGGAAUUCUUGGUGUAGCGGUGAAAUGCGUAGAUAUCAAGAGGAACACCUGAGGUGAAGACGGGUUGCUGGGCUGACACUGACGCUGAGGCGCGAAAGCUAGGGUAGCAAACGGGAUUAGAUACCCCUGUAGUCC